CCUACGGGAGGCAGCAGUGGGGAAUAUUGGACAAUGGGCGCAAGCCUGAUCCAGCAAUGCCGCGUGAGUGAUGAAGGCCUUCGGGUCGUAAAGCUCUUUUACCCGGGAUGAUAAUGACAGUACCGGGAGAAUAAGCUCCGGCUAACUCCGUGCCAGCAGCCGCGGUAAUACGGAGGGAGCUAGCGUUGUUCGGAAUUACUGGGCGUAAAGCGCACGUAGGCGGUUAUUCAAGUCAGAGGUGAAAGCCCGGGGCUCAACCCCGGAACUGCCUUUGAAACUAGAUGACUAGAAUCUUGGAGAGGUCAGUGGAAUUCCGAGUGUAGAGGUGAAAUUCGUAGAUAUUCGGAAGAACACCAGUGGCGAAGGCGACUGACUGGACAAGUAUUGACGCUGAGGUGCGAAAGCGUGGGAGCAAACAGGAUUAGAUACCCUGGUAGUCCACGCCGUAAACGACGAUAACUAGCUGUCCGGGUACUUGGUAUUUGGGUGGCGCAGCUAACGCAUUAAGUUAUCCGCCUGGGGAGUACGGUCGCAAGAUUAAAACUUAAAGGAAUUGACGG
RNAcentral lists this ribosomal RNA (560 nucleotides) under uncultured bacterium. RNAcentral describes it as "bacterial SSU rRNA". It matches the Rfam family "Bacterial small subunit ribosomal RNA", at positions 338 to 916 of the family's 1533-position model. The record is from RNAcentral.